CUACAUAGUGAGACCCUGUGAUGAAGAAGAAGAAGAAGAGGAAGAAGAAGAGGAAGAAGAGUAGGAAGGGGAAGGAAGAAGAAGAAGGAGAAGAAGAAUUGGGAUUACAUUGGCCUCCUAGAAUGAGUUAAAGACCAUUGCCAAAGGUCAUCCUGUCUCAGGAAAGUCUGCACAGAACUUUCCUGUGGAACAGCUCCUGCAGAAUCGGCACAGGUCUGGACUAUUUGGAUUGUUUCACAGUAAGCAUUGUACUUUUGAUGCUUUUGGUGCAAGUGUGAAAAAAAUUAUAGAGGGGGAAAGUAAAUCCAGCUGUUGGUUAAUCAGGCAAACCACUGUAGUCUUUGAGAUAAGAAAGUCAGAUCUUGGGCAAACUGAGCACGACCCAUGCAAGCAAAGAUGGUGGCAGAUCUGACCAAGAGCUGACCCUAAACUUCCUCAUACCUUCAUAUCCUGCCUUUUGUAACAAAAUCUCCACCCAAAGCAUGGAAAAGGAGGUCGACGUGGCGUGGGGGGAGAUGAGAAGAGAAAAAAGCACUGAGUGUAUGAAAGCCACCAACCCUUCUUCUCUAGGUAAGUUAUGCCCUGAUAUACUUCUUAGACCUCGUGCCAGGUGCUUUUGAAGGAUUACAGUGGGGAAGGGGCUCUGAAGACUGGGCAUGGACAUGUGUGAGCCCCCAUGAAGAAAUAGAAGCCCAGAGCCGCUCCAGAGAGGUAAACUGAAAGUCAGCUCCAGGGAGCUGCCCCAGUGGUGAGGGGCAGAUGGUUUCUGAAUGUUCACCAUGGAAAUAGUGAGCCUAGCUGCCAGCAUAGGUCCAUUGUGGCAGGAACCAACUAAUCAGUUCUGCUUUCCCUCUUGUUUUAAACUAGUAAACCUAGGAACCCUUUAUCCAUGUCUUUAACUCUAAAUACUUUGUUUCUCAUAAGAAUGGUCUUGGAUGAGAUGCAGGAAUGAGAAAUUAUGGGGCUAGAGACUGAAGGAGGAUUCUUUUUUUUUUUUUUUUGGUACCGAGGAUUGAACUCAGGACCUUGUGCUUACGAGGAAGGCGGUGGAACCACUGAGCUAAAUCCCUAGCCCCGAAGGUGGAUUCUUAACUGGUGGAUGGCUUUUCAAGUGUGUGGAUGAAGGAAUGGCAUCAAGGGAAAAACUAUGGACAGAAUAUAAAAUGCAGUUCUCAAUGACUUUGAAAAGCAAAAGCAGAAGGCAAAUGCAGGAGAGAAAUCAAAGCUUGCGGAAGUGGCCCAUUGGAGGGCUCAGGUGCACAGAACCAUGUGGCAGCGAUGUGAGCAGCUAAAUGUUGGCUAGAAAUGGGCAUUUCUUGGUGAAAAAAUGAGAAAGGGAAGAGAAUAGAAUGGAGGAGGUAGAGGCAAUUCUUAUUUUGAAAACUGAACUAACAUGGAAGCCAGUGCUGCCGAAGUUAAGACAAAACUUGUGGUUUAAAUUUAACCAAGUUGAUGAAUGACAGUGAUGCAGUGGUCAACUACCAAGAAGAAUGAGGAUAUAAAUGCACUGUAUAUGUAUCUAAAGUUUAAAACACAUGAAGCAAAAAUGGUGGGAUUGAAAGUAGAUAAAGAUGAACCCAUGGCUCUAGUUGAACAGUUCGACACUUUGCUUUUAGUAACUAAGAGAAUAAAUAAAUCAGCUGUGCCAUGGAAGCCUGGAGUGACAUUCGGCAGCAGUUUGGCAAAAAUGCCCCUGUAAGGCAGCAACUGCAGUGAUGCUGGAGGCCCCUGUUCAGCUCAGAGGCCCAGGCUGGCCAGGCAGCCUCUGAGGGCUCUGCAGAACAUCAACGAAUACAGUGCAGGCCACUAGCACUAAAUAAUCGGAAGCUAUCUUUAUUAUUUUGACACGGACAAGAAAGAGAGUGUAUGCCAGCAAAGAAAUUUAC
This is a non-coding RNA of Heterocephalus glaber (naked mole-rat), 1886 nucleotides long. NCBI's taxonomy places the organism in Eukaryota, Metazoa, Chordata, Mammalia, Rodentia, Bathyergidae. The record is from RefSeq and is a predicted model, not a curated record.